CUUGCCACUUCAAUUCCAGCAAAACCAAGGCUGUAAAAAUAACAUUUUUGCUUCACAGGAAGUGACGUUAAUCACAGAAAAGGAUUAAAUAGAUACUUUGUGCCACCUGCCUCACAGCUUUGAAUGGCUUUCUGAAUUAAGAUGUGAGGGUGAUACUUCCAUAUUUUCUUGCUAAAAAGGAUUCUAGACUGAAGUCAUCUUGACAAAAUAACAUCAGAAAGGAUUCUUUGGAGACUUCCAUUCUGACCAAAAGGACAAAAAGACAGGACUUCCAAAAACAUCACAGGAAAGCCUCAGCUCCAUUUUAGCUCGAAGGAGGAUUCAGGCACAGUGAGAACAGAAGGACAGAAGGUGGUUUGCAGUUUCUGGCUAUCUGGAAAGCUGGCAUG
RNAcentral lists this long non-coding RNA (389 nucleotides) under Coturnix japonica (Japanese quail). RNAcentral's name for it is "lncRNA (ENSCJPG00005000138.1)". Lineage: Eukaryota; Metazoa; Chordata; Aves; Galliformes; Phasianidae. The record is from RNAcentral.